AAGCACUGUUGUCUUUAUUUUUAGAAUGUAAGGAAAAACUGAGGGAGGCAAUGAAGCAACAAUAAAUGUCCCUUCUGCCUUGGGGAUGUAUUAGAACCUAUUUUUCCUUCAUGGCUGGGCUUUUUCUGGGGGACAGAAGCAGCAGAAAGUCUCUUUUACAAUGCCCUUUAAUAGCUGUGUCAAAAUUUUCCUGAAUUGUCUGCAAUUCUUCCUUAUUUGCAGCUGAGUUGGCUUUUACAUCGGACAUUUCAGGUCAAUGUGCAAUUUGCCACCAUCUUGUGGAUGGUAAACUCCUCUCAGCUUGGCAGCCCUCCUUUAAAAUAUCUUAAAUAGGUUUCUACUUUACUCAUCACAGAUAGCUUUUUUUUUUUUUCUAAAAUAUUUUGAAAAUGUGAGGUUCUGGCAAGAAGAGUGACUACCAAACAGAUUCAGUAGCACCCAGUGCCAAGUGAUCAGACAGAAAAAGAUGAAAACUACUGACCACACUGACCACUGCUUGGUGGCGUUGAAUGGGAUGCCCAGCAAGGGGUCUUGUUCCAGUAGCUGUGACUGCCGGCUUCUAGGCUGUCUCCUGCUCCAAGGGGAGAAAGAUCACACCAAGACAACUUCAGCAAGUAGGACUGCCCUCCUAUUUGCUCUAUGGGCAGUGGCAAAUAAAAACAGGUCUAAGGUUUCAUUUAUCUGGAUAAUUAAAUCAGCUUGGAAGAAUAUACUGCAAAAAUUUUCCUCUAGCCCACUCUUUUUUGGUUGGUAUUAUUUGGCUUUGCUCUCCUUACCUUGAAACUGCCCCAAUGCAAGCAAUAAUUUUUGCCAAGGGAGUAGAAAACUCUCUUCUGUCCUCUGGACUAGUGCGUGCUUUCUAGAGGUGGGACAGGGCGGUGUAGAGAUCCACCAAACUGGGUCUAAAUACCAGUUCUGCUGUUUGCCCAACUUUGGGGAGUGAGUCCAUGCUUUGGCACUCAGUUCUGCCAUCUAUCAGACAAGGAUGCUGGGAAGAGUACAAUGUAUACCUAUGGUCAAUGGGGCUCGCCAAGGCUGUAAAGUCGUAAUUCUGAUAUAUACUGGACACUAAGUGUAGGCACUGGUUAAGCUUCUUAUAUGUAUUUUCCCGCUUAAUUUCUUACCGUAUGAGGUCAGCUCUAUUAUUAAUCCUAGUUUGUGGGAGAAGAACCAGGAGCACAGAAAGGGUAAAGCAGCCAGGCAAGGAUGCUCCACGGUAGGAAAGGGCUGGCCAGGAUUCCCCCCGAGGCAGGACGCUUCACAGUGCAUUCUUCACGCCGCAAAGCUGCUCUUUCACAGGCAUGACCUACGUGACUCAGGCGCGUUCAGGGCACGUGGUCGCACCGGCACUUAAUUCCAGGGAGUGCUCUUGAGCUGUGUGCCGCAAAGUGCGUGGAGUCACCCAGGUUGGACAAGUGCCCACAGUGAGUCCUGCCUGUGGAGGUCCUGGGUUGGGGCCUUUGGGAGGAAGUGGAGCCCAGAGGCCAGAGUUGGACCCCUGCCUCCUGGCUGAGCCUGCUCUGCUCUGAGCUCUUCCUAGAAGCUGAAGAGGGAUCGUCUUUCUUUCCUCCCCGCUUAUUUUUGCUCAGUAUUUGUGCACCUCAUGCUCCCUUAAACCUCAUCAACCAAAGAAAUAAAGGGAUAUUCCUGAGGUUGCUAUUUUUAGGUCCUGUGGGUGGAGAGGCUUAAAUAAACAUGUCACUUGUAUUAGUUAACAGGUUUUCUUUGGCUCACCUCAGGUUUCAAGAUGCUCCCCAAAUACUGCUCUUUUGUUAAGUCUUUCUUCAUCUCCUUGCCCCAACUUUAGGAUUUCUUUCUUUCUUUCUCUCCCUUUCUUUCUUUCUCGCCCUUUCUUUCUCUCUCUCUCUUUCUCUCUUUUUUCCUCUUUCUUUCUUUCUUUCUUUUUCUUUCUUUCUUUCUUUCUUUCUUUCUUUCUUUUUCUUUCUUUUUUCUUUCUUUCCUUCUUCCUUCCUUCCUUUUACUUUCUUUCUUUCAUAAAUUUUAUUUGUGUAUACUUGACUUAGAAAGUUGUGUUAGUUUCAGGUGUACAGCAAAGUAAAUCAGUUAUACAUAUACGUGUAUCCAUUCCUUUUCAGAUUCUUUCCCCAUAUAGGUUAUUACACAGUAUUGAGUAGCUUACCCUGUGUUAUACAGUAGGUCCUUGUUACUUAUCUAUUUAUAUGUAGUAGUAUGUCAGUUCCCACCCCCAUAUUUAUCCCUCUAACCCCACAUUUCCCCUUUGGCAACCAUACAUUUGGUUUCAAAAUCUUUGAGUCUGUUUCUGUUUUAUAAGUUCUCUUGUGUCAUUUUUGUUAGAUUCUACCUAUUAGUGAUCUCACAUGAUAUUUGUCUUUCUCUGACUUACUUCAUUCAGUAUGAUAAUUUCUAUCUUCACCCAGAGGGUCCGUUCUUUUAUGACCUCUUCCAUACGCUGCUCUGGAUGAAGCACAUUGCAUACCCUUCUCUGCCAACCCAGAGAUGGUACUCUCCUCCAGGACAGGGCUCCCCACUUGCUUAUCAUGUUAGGUCCUGUAGCAUCUAGCGUGGUCUCUAACAAUAGAAGCUCAUGAAGAAAAAGAUAAAUGUAAACUAUCUCCCAAACCAAGUCAAAAUACAAACCACAGAUUGGGAGAAGAUCUUUGCAAUGUAUACAAGAAAGUGUUGUUAGGCCAAAUGUACAAAUAGUUUCUUCAAGUUAAAAAUAAAAGCAGCAAAAUUAUUUUUAAAAGAGGUCAAUGGCACACAUAGUUUACAGAAGAGGAAAUUCAAAGGAGCCACCAGCCAAUAACAUGUGAAAAAAUUCUAAUCCUUACUAGAAAGCAAGAACAUGUAAAUGAAAAGCACUGCCUCCAUUUAAAAAAAAAAAUAUAUAUAUAUAUAGGCAAAAAUUUCAAAAGAUGUACUUUCAGCCAAAAAAAAAAAAGGAGGGACUGGAGGCUUACGUACAACGGGUAGUGUGCAGGUAUGUCAGGGCAUUUGUAACCACUUAUUUCAUGUGUAAUUUUGCAGCAUGUGGUAGUUUGCUGGGGCCGCCAUAGCAGAGGACCACCAACUGGGUGACUUAAACAACAGAAAUUUAUUUUCUCACAAUUCUGGAGAUGAGAAGUCUAACAAAAAGAUGUUAACAGGAUCGGUUUCUUCUGAGAUCUCUCCUCCUGGCUUGUAGACAGCCAUCUCCUCUCUGCACGUAGCCUCCCCAUGUCCUAACCUCUUCUUAGAUGCCCAUCGGUCUUGUUGCCUUAGGGCUCACUCUAGGACCUCAUUUUAACUUAGAUAUCCCUUAAAAGUCUCUAUCUUCAAAUAGAGUCACAUUUUGAGACUGAUGGUUAGGAUUUCAAUGUAUGAAUUCAGGGGUAGGGAGGGAGCAUGAUUCAGUGUAUAACAUAUACAUAUAUAGUAUAUAUGGAUGGAUACACACAUAAACACUUGGUGGAUUAAUAUGUUUCUGAUAAACUCCCAAUUGUUGGCCAUGUUUACCUCUAGAGUUGGAAUGGGAUAGAAAGGGAGUUUUGCUUUUUUUUUACAAUUUUAAAAGACCUGGACUUAAUUCAUGAUUUUUUCCUUUUUGAGUUGUUUGGGAUUGUCAAAUAGUAAUAAUAAAAUAGUAGAAAUAUCACAUGUGGAAAGCAUGUCAUCAGAGACACAAAUUGACCAGAUGUCCUAGGUGCACCUGGAAACCGUGUUUCCAGCCAGCCUCCUUUGCAGGUAUAUUGAGGCUCUGUGGCUGAGUUUUGGCCAAAGGAUUGUGACUUGUUGAAUGCAGAGGAUCCAGUGAAGGAAUUCCAAAGCCACUUUUUAAGGUGUCAGAGGCACAGGGUGGGGGUUCUGAGGAACUGGGAUGGAAAGCUGUUCAGGAUGGCUGCCUGGACCCACGUCUGACUUUAAGUCACUGUGUUUUAAGCUUAUUCGUUCUAGCAACUGGCAUUCAUUACUCUGACAAAUGUAUCACCAAUAGUUUCUUUCUAUAAAGGAAAUUUUGUCCUUGCAAUGAAAAAUGUAAUAUAUAUCCUCUGAACCUGAAAUUACUUCCAGGAAAGGAAGUUUUACAAUUAAAAAAUCAUAAGCAUACUGGAGUUUCCUUGUGGUGCAGCGGGUUAAUUAUCUGGCAUUGUCACUGCAGCAGCCCAGGUUGCUGCUGUGGAGCAGGUUUGAUAUCUGACCUGGGAACUUUCACUGCUGCAGGUGCAGCCAAGAAAAAAAAAACAACACAAAAAACAAAAACCAUAAGCAUACAAAAAAUGUGCUUAUAGUAAAGACAUGCUUGCAACAGAGAAAAAAGUCAAUAUAUUUUUAUCCACUGGGAAGUGGUUAAAUAAAUUGCAGUGCUUUGAUUUAUUAACCUCUAUACAGACCUUAAAAGGAAUGAUCUAGCUAUACUACUAGCCUAGAAAGAUUCUUAUCACAUAGAAUUAUUUAUAUAACAGACUUGGAGAUAAAUACAGCAUGAUUUGUUUUUAUUAACAUUACACUUAAAGACAUGGUAAACUUGGGAGUUCCCAUUGCAGUGCACUGGAAAUGAAACCUAUUAGUAUCUAUGAGGAUGCAGGUUCAAUACCUGGCCUCACUCAAUGGGUUAAGGGUCCUGCAUUGCUGUGAGCUGUGGUGUAGGUUGCAGAUGCGGCUUGGAUCCUGUGUUGCUGUGGCUGUGGCGUAAGCCAGCAGGUGUAGCUCCAAUUUGACAUCUAGUCUAGGAACUUCCAUAUGCCGUGAGUG
RNAcentral lists this long non-coding RNA (4713 nucleotides) under Sus scrofa (pig). Its description in RNAcentral is "lncRNA (ENSSSCG00000055886.1)". The record is from RNAcentral. Lineage: Eukaryota; Metazoa; Chordata; Mammalia; Artiodactyla; Suidae.